Molecule: long non-coding RNA, 829 nt
Filed under: Pogona vitticeps (central bearded dragon)
Lineage: Eukaryota; Metazoa; Chordata; Lepidosauria; Squamata; Agamidae
Description: lncRNA (ENSPVIG00000022606.1)
Source: RNAcentral
CUUAUCACUCCGGAGGGAUGUGGAAAUGCUCUUAUUUAAACGUUCCACGGGGGCUGCGAGGCAAUUCCUCCAAACGUGAUUUCGGAGGCAGGGAAUUCGCCCACUGGAAUCAAAAGAGAAGCCUUGUUAUUUAUCGUAAUUAUUCAACAACGCAACGUGAUCUGGAGCCUGCCUGCCUGGCCAGGUCGCCAAUGGCCAGACUCGCGAGCAGUUAUGACCAGCUCUGGCCACAAAUUUUUGCUUUGACUUGCGACCAGAACUUUGAGUUACAACCAAAAAAAGGCAGGGAAAAAAGGCGGGGAAUUCAAAUUGCUAACCAUUGGUGGUGAAAAGCCUGCUUCUUUGUAGCUCUGUUGCCCCAGAGGUUAGAGAGUGUGCGUUCAGAGGAGGCUUCGGACUGCCUGGUAAGGUGCUGCUUUCUACUUUUUAAAAACUGGCCAUUCUGGGUGGGUUUUGCAGCGUGGGUUUGGGCUGGGUGCUGGGGUUAUGUUUCUAUGUUGUGCACCGCACACCCCACCCCACCUCUGCCUUGCCCGCCCGCCCGCCUUCAAGGCAAGCCAGCCGGAGCUGCUCCCUGCAGAGGACGACACCGGCGCCUUCCUUGCCCCAGAGCUUCCAUGGGCAUCUUUGGGGCAGCCGCCUGGGCAAGAAGGCGCGCCGUCUAAAGUCACCCUCGUGGACUGCCCGGAGGGACGGGCGAGAGGGAAGCCGCCUCAGCAGCUGACAGAGGGCAAAGUUCUGAAAAGAAAAGAAAAGAUCGGAAAUGUUGAGAAGCACUCAUUUAGAAAGCCUCUUGAAUAAUGUAAGCCGAACCUGAAUUCCAGCCAGU